Molecule: long non-coding RNA, 1841 nt
Filed under: Lactuca sativa (garden lettuce)
Lineage: Eukaryota; Viridiplantae; Streptophyta; Magnoliopsida; Asterales; Asteraceae
Description: long non-coding RNA (LSAT_LNC003525)
Source: RNAcentral
GGGAUCGAACUUGGAAAAAGAGACUUAAGUUUGGAAGAAGGCACGAGAUUAAACCGGCGCUCCUUCCCUCUUGUUUUGAGGAUGCAAACCCUAACCCUAGCAUAUUUUCUCCAGCCGCCACCAUCAUGGAGCCUUCUCAGCUGCCGCCAACAAUGUCGACUCUGACCGCCACCCUACCUCCUGCUACCUUUCCGUUGAACGCCUCCACGAUAGCCCAUGCUGUCGGACAUCACGGGCAACCGAAAGAGCCACCGAGGCCGGUGUUUGAAGCUGUGUUCGUCGUUGUGUAGGUCGUGAUCGGCCAGAAAGCUCUCGAUAAGGCUAAUCGACACCCGCCUUUCCACUCCUUUCCUCUCUAUUUUUUCGACGUCGGGUACGUCGUUGCUGCCGCCGGUGGCCUUUAGCCACUGUUCUCGUCAUUUUCGGCAACGUCAGCCGCCUAGGAGGUGGUCGAGUGUAUGUGUGUUCGAGUGUAUAUGUUGUUUUCUAUGUUCGUGUGGUUGUAUGUGCACUAUUUAGCCGGAAAACCCACCGCCACCACCGUAAGAUGGUGGCUGCCACCGUUUUGCCGCCACUAGCCACCAUCUCUGGUGGUUGUGUGUUUAUGUACAUGAUUGGUUUGGUGUUUGGAGUGCUUUUGUCAUUGUUUUGUCUUAGAAUCAUAACCACCACCACCAUGAGGUGGUGGCUGCCGCCGUGAACCACCGUCGACCACCACUGCCCGAGGUGGCAGUGGGUGGUGUCUGGCCUAGUGAAACCCUAAUCAGUCUAAAACUUAAUUAUUGGACUAAUUGGCAUGUGUUUCGGUUGGAAACCCUAAUUAGGGUUUAGAAAACCCUAAUCUUGGAGACUUUUGUUUGGGACUUGUCGGGACACACGUUUUGGACCGUUGGAUUGGAAUUAUUAAUUAUGCUCGACCCCAUUGUAUGAUUGACCUAGUAGAGUGAUGGUCUUAAUGGAUUAAGUCCUUAUGGGUUAAGUGUUUUUCCUUAACCCUAAUCGUCAUUUUAUGUGAAAAACCUUAAUCUUUUUGGGCUAUGAGUUGGGCUUAGAUGUUUGGGUCCUUGUUGGGCCAUCUAAGGACUAGGAUAUUUAGAUGGGCUUUAGGUUAAGGCCCAUGUAAAGGGUUUGGGCCCAAUUUGGAAAAUUAAGCCAUAAUUGGGCCUUGGUUGACCUUUUUGGCUUUUGGGUCUCCAGAGUGUAAGUUUGGGCCUUGGUUUUGGACCAAGAUAGGUUAGGGGUAAAAUAGUUUUUUUACCCCAAGUAUGGAUUUAUGGUUAUGUAUUGGAACCCAAUUGUUAAUUGGGUAUUAUUUGGAUGAUUAACAGUUCGACAAUCUGUCGGCCAACAGCUAGGGAUCGUCUGUGUGAGGUGAGUUUACUUACCAUGUUUAGCGGGUCGAAGGCACCAUGGUCGGCCCAUGUUUAUAUUAUGUUGUUAGUAUGCUAUUUGUCUUUGUGACUCUUGCAUGUGCUUGUGUUUAAAUGUCUUCCGCGCUAAGGCCCGAUGUCGGGCGGGACCUGAUGGAUAUUUGUAUGUUAUGUAUCUCUAUGAUUAUUGCAUGUGUAUGUGUUUAUUUGAUAUAUGUUAUUAUACGUUGGGCGGGACCCAUUUUACCGAGCUCAGCUCGAUGUCGGUCGUGGCCCAAUGUCGCAGCCCGAUGCCGGACGGAGCCCGAUGAUGGGCGGGGCCCACUAUAUGUUUAUUGUAUGUUUGGUAUGUGGUAUGUUGGGGAACGCACUAAGCUUCGGGCUUAUGGUUUUCAGUUUAUGUUUCAGGUACUUCAGUUUUCAAUGGAAGAGCUCAGGUUGACUACAUUGCACACACACUUUAUAUUUCGC